Molecule: transfer RNA, 74 nt
Filed under: Ailuropoda melanoleuca (giant panda)
Lineage: Eukaryota; Metazoa; Chordata; Mammalia; Carnivora; Ursidae
Rfam family: tRNA
About the family: Transfer RNA (tRNA) molecules are approximately 80 nucleotides in length. Their secondary structure includes four short double-helical elements and three loops (D, anti-codon, and T loops). Further hydrogen bonds mediate the characteristic L-shaped molecular structure. tRNAs have two regions of fundamental functional importance: the anti-codon, which is responsible for specific mRNA codon recognition, and the 3' end, to which the tRNAs corresponding amino acid is attached (by aminoacyl-tRNA synthetases). tRNAs cope with the degeneracy of the genetic code in two manners: having more than one tRNA (with a specific anti-codon) for a particular amino acid; and 'wobble' base-pairing, i.e. permitting non-standard base-pairing at the 3rd anti-codon position.
Source: Rfam by way of RNAcentral
ACCUGGCUGGCUCAGCAGGAAGAGCAUGUGAUUCUUGAUCUCCAAGGUCAUGAGUUCGAGCCCCAUGUUGGGUG